GCUGGGUGUGGUGGUGCAUGCCUGUAGUCCCAGCUACUCAGGAAGCUGAGGCAGAAGAAUUGCUUGAACCCAGGAGACAGAGGUUGCAGUGAGCAGAGAUCAUGCCACUGCACUCCAGCCUGGGUGACAGAGCAAGACUCUGUCUGAA
This 148-nucleotide non-coding RNA is filed under the name Chlorocebus sabaeus (green monkey). Lineage: Eukaryota; Metazoa; Chordata; Mammalia; Primates; Cercopithecidae. The record is from Rfam by way of RNAcentral.